RNAcentral lists this transfer RNA (67 nucleotides) under Luminiphilus sp. Its description in RNAcentral is "tRNA-Met". The record is from RNAcentral. Lineage: Bacteria; Pseudomonadati; Pseudomonadota; Gammaproteobacteria; Cellvibrionales; Halieaceae.
AGCACGGUGGUCACCGAUAGCAUUCAUAAUGCUGGGGUCGGUGGUUCAAGUCCACCCGUAGCUACCA